This 75-nucleotide transfer RNA is filed under the name Actinomycetota bacterium. RNAcentral's name for it is "tRNA-Arg". It matches the Rfam family "tRNA". Rfam says of the family: Transfer RNA (tRNA) molecules are approximately 80 nucleotides in length. Their secondary structure includes four short double-helical elements and three loops (D, anti-codon, and T loops). The record is from RNAcentral. Lineage: Bacteria; Bacillati; Actinomycetota.
GCGCCCGUAGCUCAGUUCGGAUAGAGCGGGAGACUUCUAAUCUCUAGGUCGGGGGUUCGAAUCCCUCCGGGCGCG